UAGGGAAUCUUCCACAAUGGACGCAAGUCUGAUGGAGCAACGCCGCGUGAGUGAAGAAGGUUUUCGGACCGUAAAGCUCUGUUGUUGGUGAAGGAGGAUAGAGGUAGUAACUGGCCUUUAUUUGACGGUAAUCAACCAGAAAGUCACGGCUAACUACGUGCCAGCAGCCGCGGUAAUCGUAGGUGGCAAGCGUUGUCCGGAUUUAUUGGGCGUAAAGCGAGCGCAGGCGGAAGAAUAAGUCUGAUGUGAAAGCCCUCGGCUUAACCGAGGAAUUGCAUCGGAAACUGUUUUUCCUUGAGUGCAGAAGAGGAGAGUAGAACUCCAUGUGUAGCGGUGGGAUGCGUAGAUAUAUGGAAGAAUACCAGUGGCGAAGGCGGCUCUCUGGUCUGCAACUGACGCUGAGGCUCGAAAGCAUGGGUAGCGAACAGGAUUAGAUACCCUUGGUAGUCCAU
This 452-nucleotide ribosomal RNA is filed under the name uncultured bacterium. Its description in RNAcentral is "partial 16S ribosomal RNA". It matches the Rfam family "Bacterial small subunit ribosomal RNA", at positions 355 to 798 of the family's 1533-position model. The record is from RNAcentral.